GAUGAACGCUAGCGGCAGGCUUAAUACAUGCAAGUCGAGGGGGCAGCAAUGUCACCGGCGAACGGGUGCGUAACACGUAUGCAACCUACCUAUAUCAGGGGGAUAGCCCGAGGAAACUCGGAUUAAUACCGCAUAAUAUUAGGAUCGGCAUCGAUUUUAAUUGAAAGAUUUAUUGGAUAUAGAUGGGCAUGCGUAGGAUUAGCUAGUUGGUAAGGUAACGGCUUACCAAGGCUACGAUCCUUAGGGGCUCUGAGAGGAGUAUCCCCCACACUGGCACUUGGAUACGGGCCAGACUCCUACGGGAGGCAGCAGUAGGGAAUAUUGGGCAAUGGGCGAAAGCCUGACCCAGCCAUGCCGCGUGCAGGACGACGGCCCUCUGGGUUGUAAACUGCUUUUGAAUGGGAAGAAAGGUAUGCUUGCGAGCGUAAUUGACGGUACCAUUAGAAUAAGCCACGGCUAACUACGUGCCAGCCGCCGCGGUAA
RNAcentral lists this ribosomal RNA (483 nucleotides) under uncultured bacterium. Its description in RNAcentral is "partial 16S ribosomal RNA". It matches the Rfam family "Bacterial small subunit ribosomal RNA", at positions 28 to 523 of the family's 1533-position model. The record is from RNAcentral.